UUAAAAGAGAGAGCCAGGAAAACAGGCUGU
This 30-nucleotide non-coding RNA is filed under the name Rattus norvegicus (Norway rat). The record is from RNAcentral. Lineage: Eukaryota; Metazoa; Chordata; Mammalia; Rodentia; Muridae.